RNAcentral lists this unclassified non-coding RNA (278 nucleotides) under Mucor sp. RNAcentral's name for it is "partial internal transcribed spacer region". The stretch from base 1 to 46 matches the Rfam family "Eukaryotic small subunit ribosomal RNA", at positions 1786 to 1831 of the family's 1831-position model. The record is from RNAcentral. Lineage: Eukaryota; Fungi; Mucoromycota; Mucoromycetes; Mucorales; Mucoraceae.
AAGUCGUAACAAGGUUUCCGUAGGUGAACCUGCGGAAGGAUCAUUAAAUAAUGUGAUAAUUUUACAAUUAUCUUCUUUACUGUGAAACGUUUUAUGUAUGACGCAUAAGGGGAUGUCUAUAUGCCAUAGGGGUAGGUAUAUAGAAUGCUAACCUAGUCAUAGUCAAGCUUGAUGCUUGGUACCCAAUUAUUAUUUACCAAAAGAAUUCAGUUUAAAUAAUGUAACAUAGAUCUAAACAAUCUAUAAAACAACUUUUAACAAUGGAUCUCUUGGUUCUC